This 64-nucleotide transfer RNA is filed under the name Dipodomys ordii (Ord's kangaroo rat). It matches the Rfam family "tRNA". From Rfam's summary of the family: Transfer RNA (tRNA) molecules are approximately 80 nucleotides in length. Lineage: Eukaryota; Metazoa; Chordata; Mammalia; Rodentia; Heteromyidae. The record is from Rfam by way of RNAcentral.
GGUGGCUUGGUGGUAGAGUGCAUGCCUUGCAUGCAUGAGGCCCUGGGUUUGAUUCUCAGUACCA